Long non-coding RNA from Lutra lutra (Eurasian river otter), 955 nucleotides. RefSeq lists it as uncharacterized. Lineage: Eukaryota; Metazoa; Chordata; Mammalia; Carnivora; Mustelidae. The record is from RefSeq and is a predicted model, not a curated record. The transcript is spliced from 6 exons.
CCCCGUGGCCCGCUUGGACCUUCGCCUGCUGCUUUCCUGUGCGACGGGGCCCAGACCUCACUCUUCAGGGAGUCUCCAUUGCCUUGCACCCUUUUCAUUUGGGCAGAGGCCUUCACGGAUUCCUUCUGAGCCUUCAGGAUGAGGCAUUGCAGAGAUGCCUCCCACACACCCCAGUGACCUCCAGCAGAGACACGCCAGGAAGGCAGGAAGGGGCCGUGCAGCAGGAUCAUGUUCUGGGCUAGAAAGUACGUCUGCUCAUUACCCGACCUUUGCUAAGUAUACCAACUAAUGGAGCGAGAGACAUGAAAGAUCUUUACAGGCCAUGUGGAAAUGUAAUUCACACCCAGCCCGAGGAGGUCACGAUGAGAAAACUAAAGACCAGGAAGUUUCACUAACACAGAGUCACCCAGCUCCUUUAUUGCUGGAGAUACUCACCAAGGUCCGUGUGACUCCAGUCUCUACAUUUACCCACUGAGCUGCACCUCCCCCCAGAGUCAUGAGAUCUCUCCCAGCCUCAGUUUCCUGGUCUAUGGAAUGUGGGGACGUGAUCUCCUGCACUGGACUCUGGUGGAGCUCUGAGGAAGGUGCUGCUCUAGAAGACUUUGGAGUGCCAUGAGGACAAGAAAACAAGAGGAAUAGACUUUGUCAGGGAGGAACAGCCAAGGAAGACUUCUCUGACCCUACGGCAGCCUCAUUCCCCCACAGAAAUCACCACCGCACCCAGCACCUAGCACUGGGCCUGGUUCCAGCUGGUGUUUGAGUGAAGGAUGGGCCUAAGGUGAAAGUCUCCUACAGCAGACCUCAGGUGUUUGUCAGGAGUGCUUGGUUUGUUUUUAAGAUUUGCUCCCCAUGGCUUGGAGCUAAAAUCUAGCUGAAAUGUCAUCCAGGAGAGAAGCUGGUACAGAGGCUCCCAAAGGUGGGGCAGUUGCUCUGGGCUAUGACUUCUCAUAAAGGG